RNAcentral lists this ribosomal RNA (1040 nucleotides) under uncultured organism. Its description in RNAcentral is "bacterial SSU rRNA". It matches the Rfam family "Bacterial small subunit ribosomal RNA", at positions 242 to 1281 of the family's 1533-position model. The record is from RNAcentral.
CAGCUUGUUGGUGAGGUAACGGCUCACCAAGGCAACGACGGGUAGCGGGACUGAGAGGUUGGCCCGCCACAUCGGGACUGAGACACUGCCCGGACCGCCACGGAGGGCUGCAGUAACGGAUAUUGGGCAAUGGGCGAAAGCCUGACCCAGCAAUGCCGCGUGCAGGAUGAAGCCCCUAGGGGUGUAAACUGCUGUCAGGGGUCAGAAAGCUGGUUUCGGCCAGUUGAUCAACCCCAGAGGAAGUCACGGCUAACUUCGUGCCAGCAGCCGCGGUAAUACGAAGGUGGCAAGCGUUAUUCGGAAUCAUUGGGCUUAAAGGGCACGCAGGCGGAACAGUGUGUGUUGUGUGAAAUCCCCCGGCUUAACCGGGGAAUUGCACAGCAAACUGCUGUUCUUGAGGCAGGUAGGGGUGCAUGGAACUCUUGGUGGAGCGGUGGAAUGCGUAGAUAUCAAGAGGAACGCCAGAGGUGAAGACGGUGCACUGGGCCUGUCCUGACGCUGAGGUGCGAAAGCGUGGGGAGCGAACGGGAUUAGAUACCCCGGUAGUCCACGCCGUAAACGAUGUCUACUAGGUCGUGGGUGUUCUGACACAUUCACGGCCGGAGCAAAAGUGUUUAGUAGACCGCCUGGGGAGUACGGCCGCAAGGUUAAAACUCAAAUGAAUUGACGGGGGCUCACACAAGCGGUGGAGCAUGUGGAUUAAUUCGAAGCAACGCGCAGAACCUUACCUGGGUUUGACAUGCUUGUAUGCCUUCUCUGAAAGGAGUUAGGUUGCCUUCGGGUGAAACUUGCACAGGUGCUGCAUGGCUGUCGUCAGCUCGUGUCGUGAGAUGUCGGGUUAAGUCCUUUAACGAGCGAAACCCUUGCCGUUAGUUGCCAGCGAGUAAUGUCGGGGACUCUAACGGGACUGCCGGUGUUAAACCGGAGGAAGGUGGGGAUGACGUCAAGUCCUCAUGGCCUUUAUGCCCAGGGCUUCACACGUGCUACAAUGGCAAUUACAGAGCGACGCGAUACCGCGAGGUGGAGCAAAUCGCAAAAAA